This 2352-nucleotide long non-coding RNA is filed under the name Homo sapiens (human). RNAcentral's name for it is "HSALNT0033627". The record is from RNAcentral. Lineage: Eukaryota; Metazoa; Chordata; Mammalia; Primates; Hominidae.
GUUGUGAUUUCUGCCUUUUCCCCUUCCUCCUUGGGCUAAGCCAGACCAGAAAGGGCCCCGUGCGCAACGUGCUUCACAAUCUCUCAGGGAAAGCGGCUAACGUGGCGCUACUCCGCCUCCCCUGUUCCUUACCCUUGGGGCGGCCGCCAUGUUUCCUGAACACAAAAUGGCGACACGUGGUUAGCAUUCGUCGCCAACGAGAAAUUGGGGUCGGCCCGAAAGCUCUAGAAUGCACCCCUCUUCCUCCCCGGGGCCUUCCACCUCCGCGAGUUUUAUGACUUAAAAAAGCCCACAGGCUGGUCUGAAGAGGAAGACAAACAUAAAGAUGAAGUGCUUAAUUCAAGGUCACACAAUGUCGGGGAUGGACCUCCAGAUUUCCUUACUGAGACGGAGUCUUGCUAUGUUGCCCAGGCUGGUCUUGAACUCCUCACCUCAAGCGAUCCUCCCGUCUUGGCCUCCCAAGUGUCAGGAUUACGGGCAUGUGCUAUCACACCCAACCUGAUACAUUGCCUUUAUAAAUUUUUUUUUCUUUAUUCUAAAAACCAGAAAAAACAAAACUGGAUACAUGUGCAGAACAUGCAGACCAAGUGUGUUGGGGACUUGAGAUGCGUACAUGAGUGUGAUGUUUCCUGCUGAAAGCACAGGUGAGACGUGGUCUUGUAACACAGUGGUUAAGAAUGUGACUUUGGAGCCAGCCUGCUAGGGGCUGAAUUCUGACUCAGCCAUUUACUAACUGUGUGACCUUAGGCUGGAGUGCAAUGGCAUGAUCUCGGCUCAUCACAACCUCUGCUUCCUGGGUUCAAGCGAUUCUCCUGCCUCAGCCUCCCGAGUACCUGGGACUACAGGCACUCGCCACCAUGCCCGGCUGAUUUUUGUAUUUUUAAUAGAGAUGGUUUCACUAUGUUGGCCAGGCUGGUCUCGAACUCCUGACCUUGUGAUCUGCCCACCUCAGCCUCGAAAAGUGCUGGGAUUACAGGCGUGAGCCACUGCGCCCAGCCUUGUAUUUUUUUUCAGUUUGGGUAGCUGUCCCUAAUUCAUUUGUUAAAGGAGAAGCAAGAGCAAGAACCUUUAAUCUGUUCUCCUCUUCCCUAAUUUGAAAGUAGCUUGUUAUUUUGAAUAUCACUUUCUCUGAAAUAGCACAUCUCCAUCUCAGAGAAUGGAUUUAAUGUUUGGAUACAGCCAAAAGUCAUUUCAUUACCAAACCAUGGGGUGAAUAUACCAUGUAAAGCAGUUUGGGAUCAGAACUCACAGUCUGAAUUGUAAGUGAUGAGACUGCUGUCUCUCUGCUACAGCUUCUUGGCUGGCUCUGAAGGCUCUUUGAAGGCAGAUCCUAACAAGGGGACUGCUUUGAAGGGCCAUUGUUCAUUUGGAAUGAUAAAGUCUAUGUUGUUCAAAAAACAAAUGCUUGUAGCAGGUAUUUUUUCACUCCAGACUGAGAAUAUUGGUGGGAUAUUGAUAAGGGGUACUGAAUGGUAAUAAACAUGUGCUCUAGCUCUGUGCUAGUCAGCUUAUUUCAGAACUCUAGUUUGAUUCAGUUUCUUGCCUCUGACUCAAAAUGGAGGGAGAGUGAUUUUUACAUAAGAGAACACACCCACAUAUCCUUUUGGCAGCAGCUACCUGCCAGAGAUGUUGAAGAAGAGUAGCCAACCUUUACACAGCAGAUAUUGUGUGCCAGUCAUAGUCCUAAGUAUAAUACCUUACAUGUAUAAACUUCUUAUAAGGUUGGUGCUCUGUACCGAAUUGAAUAGUAUCCCCCAAAAUUCAUGUUGUCCCAGAACCUAUGAAAGUGAUCUUACUUGAGGGAGGGGGGAGGGGGGAGGGAUAGCAUUAGGAGAUAUACCUAAUGCUAAAUGACGAGUUAAUGGGUGUAGCACACCAGCAUGGCACAUGUAUACAUAUGUAACUAACCUGCACAUUGUGCACAUGUACCCUAAAACUUAAAGUAUAAUAAUAAUAAAAUAAAAAAAAAAAAGAAAGUGAUCUUACUUGGAAAUAAGGUCUUUGCACAUAUGAUCAAGUUGAGAUGAAGUUGUACUGGAAAGUCUGUCUAGUGACUGGUGUUGUCAUAAGAAGAGAGGGACACAGAGGGAAGAUGGCCACAUGAAGAUGGAGGCAGAGAUUGCAGUUAUGCUGCUGCAAACUAAGGAAUGGCUCUGGCCCUCCAAGGAUUGCUGAUAACCACCAGAAACUAGAAGAGACAAGGAAGGAUUCUUCCCUAGAGCCUUCAGAGGGAGCAUGGCCCUACUGACACCUGGAUUUCAAACUUGUAGCUUCCUAAACUGCAAGAGAAUAAAUUUCUGUUGUUUUAAGCCAUAUAGUUUGUGGUAAUUUGUUAUGGCAGUCCUAGGUAAU